Molecule: ribosomal RNA, 574 nt
Filed under: uncultured Staphylococcus sp.
Lineage: Bacteria; Bacillati; Bacillota; Bacilli; Caryophanales; Staphylococcaceae
Description: bacterial SSU rRNA
Rfam family: Bacterial small subunit ribosomal RNA
Source: RNAcentral
UGAGACACGGUCCAGACUCCUACGGGAGGCAGCAGUAGGGAAUCUUCCGCAAUGGGCGAAAGCCUGACGGAGCAACGCCGCGUGAGUGAUGAAGGUCUUCGGAUCGUAAACCUCUGUUAUUAGGGAAGAACAUAUGUGUAAGUAACUGUGCGCAUCUUGACGGUACCUAAUCAGAAAGCCACGGCUAACUACGUGCCAGCAGCCGCGGUAAUACGUAGGUGGCAAGCGUUAUCCGGAAUUAUUGGGCGUAAAGCGCGCGUAGGCGGUUUUUUAAGUCUGAUGUGAAAGCCCACGGCUCAACCGUGGAGGGUCAUUGGAAACUGGAAAACUUGAGUGCAGAAGAGGAAAGUGGAAUUCCAUGUGUAGCGGUGAAAUGCGCAGAGAUAUGGAGGAACACCAGUGGCGAAGGCGACUUUCUGGUCUGUAACUGACGCUGAUGUGCGAAAGCGUGGGGAUCAAACAGGAUUAGAUACCCUGGUAGUCCACGCCGUAAACGAUGAGUGCUAAGUGUUAGGGGGUUUCCGCCCCUUAUGUGCUGCAGCUAACGCAUUAAGCACUCCGCCUGGGGAGUACG